RNAcentral lists this ribosomal RNA (406 nucleotides) under uncultured bacterium. RNAcentral describes it as "partial 16S ribosomal RNA". It matches the Rfam family "Bacterial small subunit ribosomal RNA", at positions 30 to 526 of the family's 1533-position model. The record is from RNAcentral.
AUUGAACGCUAGCGGGAUGCUUUACACAUGCAAGUCGAACGAGUGGCGGACGGGUGAGUAAUGUCUCGGAACCUGCCUGGUGGAGGGGGAUAACUACUGGAAACGGUAGCUAAUACCGCAUACUAUCGGAUGUGCCCAGAUGGGAUUCGCUAGUAGGUGGGGUAAAGGCUCACCUAGGCAACGAUCCCUAGCUGGUUUGAGAGGACGACCAGCCACACUGGAACUGAGACACGGUCCAGACUCCUACGGGAGGCAGCAGUGGGGAAUAUUGCACAAUGGGGGAAAUCCUGAUGCAGCCAUGCCGCGUGUAUGAAGAAGGCCUUCGGGUUGUAAAGUACUUUCAGCGGGGAGGCGUUACCCGCAGAAGAAGCACCGGCUAACUCCGUGCCAGCCGCCGCGGUAAUUC